Molecule: ribosomal RNA, 252 nt
Filed under: uncultured bacterium
Lineage: Bacteria
Description: partial 16S ribosomal RNA
Rfam family: Bacterial small subunit ribosomal RNA
Source: RNAcentral
UACGUAGGGGGCGAGCGUUAUCCGGAUUUAUUGGGCGUAAAGCGUGUGUAGGCGGUUUGUUAAGUAUAAGAUAAAAGCCCGGAGCUUAACUCCGGUUCGUCUUAUAAACUGGCAGACUUGAGUGUGGUAGAGGCAAGUGGAAUUUCUAGUGUAGCGGUUAAAUGCGUAGAUAUUAGAAGGAACACCAGUGGCGAAGGCGGCUUGCUGGGCCAUUACUGACGCUGAGACACGAAAGCGUGGGGAGCAAAUAGG